UAAGGAUCAGAGAAAACUGUAAGCCAUCAAUGGGGGAGGCCAGCCUUCAGGCACAUUCAUGAUAUGGAGCCCUGGAAAAGCUCUGGAUUGAAGGCACCAGGCAUUUUUUACUGAAGUGUAAUAUACCAAUGGGAAAACACACAAACUGUAAUUAUACAUCUUGUUGUGUAUAAUUAUGUGCAAAAUGAGCCAUCCAUAUAACCAGUACCUGGAUCAAGCUGUAGAAUAUUACAAGCAACCCAGAAAUCCCCUUGUAUCUUCUCCCAGGCACUAUCUUCCAAAAGUAUCAGUCCAUUAUAAUGUUUGCUGGAUUUAUCAACACGUGAGAUUUCAGAAUCAACCCUCCUAAUCAGCCACCCAAUGCCUGGAGCCUGCUGUAACUACUUUAAUGAUGUUUAGUAAAUACUGUCAAAGAGAG
RNAcentral lists this long non-coding RNA (418 nucleotides) under Capra hircus (goat). RNAcentral describes it as "lncRNA (ENSCHIG00000007118.1)". The record is from RNAcentral. Lineage: Eukaryota; Metazoa; Chordata; Mammalia; Artiodactyla; Bovidae.